GCGAACGGGUAGUAACGCGUAGAACUGCCUUCGACAGGGGGAUAACACUCCUAACGGGGUGCUAAUACCGCAUGAGACACGGAGUCGCAUGGCUCCGAGGUCAAAGGUGGCCUCUAUUUAUAAGCUACCGGUCGAAGAUGGUCUCGCGUCCCAUUAGCUAGUUGGCGGUGUAAAAGACCACCAAGGCGACGAUGGGUAGCUGGUCUGAGAGGAUGGUCAGCACACUGGGACUGAGAUACGGCCAGACUCCUACGGGAGGCAGCAGUCGAGAGGCUUCGGCAAUGGGGGAAACCCUGACCGAGCGACGCCGCGUGAGGGAUGAAGGCCCUUGGGUUGUAAACCUCUUUUGUUCGGGGAAGAAGUGCGAUCAGGUGAACAAUCUGGUCGUUUGACGGUACCGGACGAAUAAGCUCCGGCUAACUCCGUGCCAGCAGCCGCGGUAACACGGGGGGAGCAAGCGUGUCGGNAAUCACUGGGGGCGUUAAACGGGGCGGUUGUAAGGGCGGUCCAGGUACACGGUCGGGCAUUGUCGAAAUGGCCCCGGGUUACACCCGGGUGUGAACCUUGACUCCCCAAAACUUGGUUUCGGCUUGAUUAUUG
Molecule: ribosomal RNA, 600 nt
Filed under: uncultured bacterium
Lineage: Bacteria
Description: bacterial SSU rRNA
Rfam family: Bacterial small subunit ribosomal RNA (bases 1-461)
Source: RNAcentral